UUGUAGUAUAGUUUAACAAAAUAUUGGUUUAGUAGUAUAAUUGUAGUAUAGGGAUAAGAAGCAAUGAUGCAAAGCUAUAGUGGAAGUACCGUGAGGGAAUGUUGAAAUAAUGUGAAAAGGGAUAAUGAGGGAAGAAAGGAUGGAUGUCUGUACCUUUUGUAUGAUGGUUUAGUAAGGAAAGUGAAAGGUGUUUUUAUUUCCCGAAUUUAGGUGAGCUAGUAUACUUUGUCUUGUUGGGAUGUAGCUUUUACUGUUGCAGUAGUAAGGUUUGAGGGUAUAUUAGGUGUGAAAUGCUAAUCGUGCCUAAGGAUAGCUGGUUUCUCAAGAAAUUGGUGUAAGCUGGAGAUUCAUUUUGUAUUUUGUAGUGUUAUUUUAAGGAGUAAGAGCGAGGUACAGAAAUAGUAGUGUGUUAUGUAGACAUGGAGGGAUAAGCUUUUGUGUCAAUAAGGUAAGAACCUUUGCUGUAAAUGAAGGAUAUUUAUUGUGUUUAAUAUUUUAUUAUUGGAAUAGGAGUAGGAUUAAUAGCAUCUAUCUUUUGAGAGGGCGUUAGAGCCUUUCUUUUUGGUAAUUUUGUAGAAGAUUUUAGGAGGAGAAGGUCCGGGAUUGCAGGAGGGUAUUGGGAAUUUUCAUGAUUUUGUAAGUUAUAAUGCUAGAAUUAGUAAAGGGUUUGUAAAUACUUUUUGAGGAUUAAGCAAUCCUAAUUUUGGAUGGAAGAAAGUUUUUGAAUACAGGAAGUGGCUUUUGUGGGUUGUCUUUCAACUCAGAGGGUAAGGAUGUUGUUAAACUAAGGAAAAGGAAUUCGGCAAAUUUAAACUUCGCCUGUUUACCAAAAACAUGGCUCUUCGCUAAAGGUUCUGAUGUAUGAGGAGUCUUGCCUGCCCAGUGACUUUUAUGGUUAAACGGCCGCGGUAUUUUGACCGUGCGAAGGUAGCGUAAUUAUUUGCCUUUUAAAUGGGGGCUGGUAUGAAUGGUGAGACGGGGGUUUGGCUGUCUCUUUCUUAGGGAGGUUGAAUUUGAUUUUUUUGUGAGGAAGCAGGAAUGGAAUCGUAGGACGAGAAGACCCUGUCGAGCUUAAGCGGGAAAGGUAAGUAUAGAGGGAGUGUUCUUUUGCUAAUUUUAUUCUAAUGGAGAGUAGUGGUUUUACAUAGGGAUAUGAUUGUGCUGUGCUUUUCUGGUUUUGAUUGGGGCAAUCGCGGAGAAAAUGGAACCUCCGUUAGUGAGAGUAUAGUAAAGUGACUUCUUUAUAAUAUAAGCAUGGUAAGGUAUGAUCCACAGUGUGUGUGAAUAAAGGAAUGAGUUACCGCAGGGAUAACAGCGUAAUUCUUUUGGAGAGUUCAUAUUGAUAAAAGGGUUUGCGACCUCGAUGUUGGAUCGGGAUUUCCUGGGGAUGCAGUAGUUCCUGAGGGUUGGUCUGUUCGACCAUUAAAAUUCUACGUGAUCUGAGUUCAGACCGGCGGGAGCCAGGUCAGUUUCUAUCCACGAUUGUUAGUAAUUUUUUCUAGUACGAAAGGACCGAAAGGAUAAUACCUAUGUUUAGAGAUAAGUAUUGGGUUAAGUUUUCUGUUGGAAUAUAAAGAUAGUGGAUUAGUAUAUUCAAUUUUACUUUUUGUU
This 1611-nucleotide ribosomal RNA is filed under the name Iconaster longimanus. Its description in RNAcentral is "16S ribosomal RNA". It matches the Rfam family "Bacterial large subunit ribosomal RNA", at positions 407 to 2827 of the family's 2925-position model. Lineage: Eukaryota; Metazoa; Echinodermata; Asteroidea; Valvatida; Goniasteridae. The record is from RNAcentral.